Molecule: ribosomal RNA, 632 nt
Filed under: Rhodococcus sp. So2Pw_1363
Lineage: Bacteria; Bacillati; Actinomycetota; Actinomycetes; Mycobacteriales; Nocardiaceae
Description: bacterial SSU rRNA
Rfam family: Bacterial small subunit ribosomal RNA
Source: RNAcentral
GCCUGAUGCAGCGACGCCGCGUGAGGGAUGACGGCCUUCGGGUUGUAAACCUCUUUCAGCAGGGACGAAGCGAAAGUGACGGUACCUGCAGAAGAAGCACCGGCCAACUACGUGCCAGCAGCCGCGGUAAUACGUAGGGUGCAAGCGUUGUCCGGAAUUACUGGGCGUAAAGAGCUCGUAGGCGGUUUGUCGCGUCGUCUGUGAAAACUCGAGGCUCAACCUCGAGCUUGCAGGCGAUACGGGCAGACUUGAGUACUGCAGGGGAGACUGGAAUUCCUGGUGUAGCGGUGAAAUGCGCAGAUAUCAGGAGGAACACCGGUGGCGAAGGCGGGUCUCUGGGCAGUAACUGACGCUGAGGAGCGAAAGCGUGGGUAGCGAACAGGAUUAGAUACCCUGGUAGUCCACGCCGUAAACGGUGGGCGCUAGGUGUGGGUUUCCUUCCACGGGAUCCGUGCCGUAGCUAACGCAUUAAGCGCCCCGCCUGGGGAGUACGGCCGCAAGGCUAAAACUCAAAGGAAUUGACGGGGGCCCGCACAAGCGGCGGAGCAUGUGGAUUAAUUCGAUGCAACGCGAAGAACCUUACCUGGGUUUGACAUAUACCGGAAAGCCGUAGAGAUACGGCCCCCCUUGUG